UACGUAGGGUGCGAGCGUUAAUCGGAAUUACUGGGCGUAAAGGGCGCGUAGGCGGCCUGUUAAGUCGAACGUGAAAUCCCCGGGCUCAACCCGGGAACUGCGUCCGAUACUGGCAGGCUUGAAUCCGGGAGAGGGAUGUGGAAUUCCAGGUGUAGCGGUGAAAUGCGUAGAUAUCUGGAGGAACACCGUGGCGAAGGCGGCGAUCCUGGACCGGUAUUGACGCUGAGGCGCGAAAGCUAGGGUAGCAAACGGG
This 253-nucleotide ribosomal RNA is filed under the name uncultured bacterium. Its description in RNAcentral is "partial 16S ribosomal RNA". It matches the Rfam family "Bacterial small subunit ribosomal RNA", at positions 524 to 776 of the family's 1533-position model. The record is from RNAcentral.